CAGCGACUUAUAUUCUGUAGCAAGGUUAACCGAAUAGGGGAGCCGAAGGGAAACCGAGUCUUAACUGGGCGUUAAGUUGCAGGGUAUAGACCCGAAACCCGGUGAUCUAGCCAUGGGCAGGUUGAAGGUUGGGUAACACUAACUGGAGGACCGAACCGACUAAUGUUGAAAAAUUAGCGGAUGACUUGUGGCUGGGGGUGAAAGGCCAAUCAAACCGGGAGAUAGCUGGUUCUCCCCGAAAGCUAUUUAGGUAGCGCCUCGUGAAUUCAUCUCCGGGGGUAGAGCACUGUUUCGGCAAGGGGGUCAUCCCGACUUACCAACCCGAUGCAAACUGCGAAUACCGGAGAAUGUUAUCACGGGAGACACACGGCGGGUGCUAACGUCCGUCGUGAAGAGGGAAACAACCCAGACCGCCAGCUAAGGUCCCAAAGUCAUGGUUAAGUGGGAAACGAUGUGGGAAGGCCCAGACAGCCAGGAUGUUGGCUUAGAAGCAGCCAUCAUUUAAAGAAAGCGUAAUAGCUCACUGGUCGAGUCGGCCUGCGCGGAAGAUGUAACGGGGCUAAACCAUGCACCGAAGCUGCGGCAGCGACGCUUAUGCGUUGUUGGGUAGGGGAGCGUUCUGUAAGCCUGUGAAGGUGUACUGUGAGG
This 648-nucleotide ribosomal RNA is filed under the name Escherichia coli. RNAcentral's name for it is "partial 23S ribosomal RNA". It matches the Rfam family "Bacterial large subunit ribosomal RNA", at positions 621 to 1268 of the family's 2925-position model. Lineage: Bacteria; Pseudomonadati; Pseudomonadota; Gammaproteobacteria; Enterobacterales; Enterobacteriaceae. The record is from RNAcentral.